UUAGAGUGUAGAGGUGGCAGGGUAGCCUAGUGGUUAGAGCGUAGAGGUGGCAGGGUAGCCUAGUGGUUAGAGCGUAGAGGUGGCAGGGUAGCCUAGUGGUUAGAGCGUAGAGGUGGCAGGGUAGCCUAGUGGUUAGAGCGUAGAGGUGGCAGGGUAGCCUAGUGGUUAGAGCGUAGAGGUGGCAGGGUAGCCUAGUGGUUAGAGCGUAGAGGUGGCAGGGUAGCCUAGUGGUUAGAGCGUAGAGGUGGCAGGGUAGCCUAGUGGUUAGAGCGUAGAGGUGGCAGGGUAGCCUAGUGGUUAGAGCGUAGAGGUGGCAGGGUAGCCUAGUGGUUAGAGCGUAGAGGUGGCAGGGUAGCCUAGUGGUUAGAGCGUAGAGGUGGCAGGGUAGCCUAGUGGUUAGAGCGUAGAGGUGGCAGGGUAGCCUAGUGGUUAGAGCGUAGAGGUGGCAGGGUAGCCUAGUGGUUAGAGCGUAGAGGUGGCAGGGUAGCCUAGUGGUUAGAGCGUAGAGGUGGCAGGGUAGCCUAGUGGUUAGAGCGUAGAGGUGGCAGGGUAGCCUAGUGGUUAGAGUGUAGAGGUGGCAGGGUAGCCUAGUGGUUAGAGCGUUGGACUAGUAACCGAAAGGUUG
Oncorhynchus keta (chum salmon) is the source of this 625-nucleotide long non-coding RNA. RefSeq lists it as uncharacterized. The transcript is spliced from 4 exons. Lineage: Eukaryota; Metazoa; Chordata; Actinopteri; Salmoniformes; Salmonidae. The record is from RefSeq and is a predicted model, not a curated record.